UGAGGAAUAUUGGUCAAUGGGCGAGAGCCUGAACCAGCCAAGCAGCGUGCAGGAUGACGGCCCUAUGGGUUGUAAACUGCUUUUAUAUGGGAAUAAAGUGAGGGACGUGUCCCUUAUUGCAUGUACCAUACGAAUAAGGACCGGCUAAUUCCGUGCCAGCAGCCGCGGUAAUACGGAAGGUCCAGGCGUUAUCCGGAUUUAUUGGGUUUAAAGGGAGCGUAGGCUGUUUGUUAAGCGUGUUGUGAAAUGUAAGAGCUCAACUUUUAGAUUGCAGCGCGAACUGGCAGACUUGAGUGCGCACAACGUAGGCGGAAUUCAUGGUGUAGCGGUGAAAUGCUUAGAUAUCAUAACGAACUCCGAUUGCGAAGGCAGCUUACGGGAGCGCAACUGACGCUAAAGCUCGAAGGUGCGGGUAUCGAACAGG
Molecule: ribosomal RNA, 424 nt
Filed under: Verrucomicrobiota bacterium
Lineage: Bacteria; Pseudomonadati; Verrucomicrobiota
Description: Verrucomicrobia bacterium partial 16S ribosomal RNA
Rfam family: Bacterial small subunit ribosomal RNA
Source: RNAcentral